RNAcentral lists this ribosomal RNA (210 nucleotides) under uncultured bacterium. RNAcentral's name for it is "partial 16S ribosomal RNA". It matches the Rfam family "Bacterial small subunit ribosomal RNA", at positions 568 to 775 of the family's 1533-position model. The record is from RNAcentral.
UGCGUAGGUGGUGGGGUAAGUUUGAUGUGAAAGCUCCGGGCUCAACCCGGAAAUGGCAUUAAAUACUAUUCCGCUAGAGGGUUGGAGGGGGGGACUGGAAUUCUCGGUGUAGCAGUGAAAUGCGUAGAUAUCGAGAGGAACACCAGUGGCGAAGGCGAGUCCCUGGACAACUCCUGACACUCAGGCACGAAAGCUAGGGGAAGCAAACAG